RNAcentral lists this ribosomal RNA (748 nucleotides) under uncultured Acidovorax sp. RNAcentral describes it as "bacterial SSU rRNA". It matches the Rfam family "Bacterial small subunit ribosomal RNA", at positions 28 to 773 of the family's 1533-position model. The record is from RNAcentral. Lineage: Bacteria; Pseudomonadati; Pseudomonadota; Betaproteobacteria; Burkholderiales; Comamonadaceae.
AUUGAACGCUGGCGGCAUGCGUUACACAUGCAAGUCGAACGGUAACAGGUCUUCGGAUGCUGACGAGUGGCGAACGGGUGAGUAAUACAUCGGAACGUGCCCGAUCGUGGGGGAUAACGGAGCGAAAGCUUUGCUAAUACCGCAUACGAUCUACGGAUGAAAGCAGGGGACCGCAAGGCCUUGCGCGGACGGAGCGGCCGAUGGCAGAUUAGGUAGUUGGUGGGAUAAAAGCUUACCAAGCCGACGAUCUGUAGCUGGUCUGAGAGGACGACCAGCCACACUGGGACUGAGACACGGCCCAGACUCCUACGGGAGGCAGCAGUGGGGAAUUUUGGACAAUGGGCGAAAGCCUGAUCCAGCCAUGCCGCGUGCAGGAUGAAGGCCUUCGGGUUGUAAACUGCUUUUGUACGGAACGAAAAGACUCCUUCUAAUAAAGGGGGUCCAUGACGGUACCGUAAGAAUAAGCACCGGCUAACUACGUGCCAGCAGCCGCGGUAAUACGUAGGGUGCAAGCGUUAAUCGGAAUUACUGGGCGUAAAGCGUGCGCAGGCGGUUAUAUAAGACAGAUGUGAAAUCCCCGGGCUCAACCUGGGAACUGCAUUUGUGACUGUAUAGCUAGAGUACGGCAGAGGGGGAUGGAAUUCCGCGUGUAGCAGUGAAAUGCGUAGAUAUGCGGAGGAACACCGAUGGCGAAGGCAAUCCCCUGGGCCUGUACUGACGCUCAUGCACGAAAGCGUGGGGAGCAAAC